This 550-nucleotide ribosomal RNA is filed under the name uncultured bacterium. RNAcentral's name for it is "bacterial SSU rRNA". It matches the Rfam family "Bacterial small subunit ribosomal RNA", at positions 355 to 896 of the family's 1533-position model. The record is from RNAcentral.
UAGGGAAUCUUCGGCAAUGGACGGAAGUCUGACCGAGCAACGCCGCGUGAGUGAAGAAGGUUUUCGGAUCGUAAAGCUCUGUUGUAAGAGAAGAACGAGUGUGAGAGUGGAAAGUUCACACUGUGACGGUAUCUUACCAGAAAGGGACGGCUAACUACGUGCCAGCAGCCGCGGUAAUACGUAGGUCCCGAGCGUUGUCCGGAUUUAUUGGGCGUAAAGUGAGCGCAGGCGGUUAGAUAAGUCUGAAGUUAAAGGCUGUGGCUUAACCAUAGUACGCUUUGGAAACUGUUUAACUUGAGUGCAAGAGGGGAGAGUGGAAUUCCAUGUGUAGCGGUGAAAUGCGUAGAUAUAUGGAGGAACACCGGUGGCGAAAGCGGCUCUCUGGCUUGUAACUGACGCUGAGGCUCGAAAGCGUGGGGAGCAAACAGGAUUAGAUACCCUGGUAGUCCACGCCGUAAACGAUGAGUGCUAGGUGUUAGACCCUUUCCGGGGUUUAGUGCCGUAGCUAACGCAUUAAGCACUCCGCCUGGGGAGUACGACCGCAAGGUUG